ACGUGAAAUUCCGUCGGAAUCUGGGAGGACCAUCUCCUAAGGCUAAAUACUCUCUAGUGACCGAUAGUGAACCAGUACCGUGAGGGAAAGGUGAAAAGCACCCCGGAAGGGGAGUGAAAUAGAACCUGAAACCGUGUGCUUACAAGUAGUCAGAGCCCGUUAAUGGGUGAUGGCGUGCCUUUUGUAGAAUGAACCGGCGAGUUACGAUUUGAUGCAAGGUUAAGCAGUAAAUGUGGAGCCGUAGCGAAAGCGAGUCUGAAUAGGGCGUUUAGUAUUUGGUCGUAGACCCGAAACCAGGUGAUCUACCCUUGGUCAGGUUGAAGUUCAGGUAACACUGAAUGGAGGACCGAACCGACUUACGUUGAAAAGUGAGCGGAUGAACUGAGGGUAGCGGAGAAAUUCCAAUCGAACCUGGAGAUAGCUGGUUCUCUCCGAAAUAGCUUUAGGGCUAGCCUCAAGUGAUGAUUAUUGGAGGUAGAGCACUGUUUGGACGAGGGGCCCCUCUCGGGUUACCGAAUUCAGACAAACUCCGAAUGCCAAUUAAUUUAACUUGGGAGUCAGAACAUGGGUGAUAAGGUCCGUGUUCGAAAGGGAAACAGCCCAGACCACCAGCUAAGGUCCCAAAAUAUAUGUUAAGUGGAAAAGGAUGUGGCGUUGCCCAGACAACUAGGAUGUUGGCUUAGAAGCAGCCAUCAUUUAAAGAGUGCGUAAUAGCUCACUAGUCGAGUGACACUGCGCCGAAAAUGUACCGGGGCUAAACAUAUUACCGAAGCUGUGGAUUGUCCUUUGGACAAUGGUAGGAGAGCGUUCUAAGGGCGUUGAAGCAUGAUCGUAAGGACAUGUGGAGCGCUUAGAAGUGAGAAUGCCGGUGUGAGUAGCGAAAGACGGGUGAGAAUCCCGUCCACCGAUUGACUAAGGUUUCCAGAGGAAGGCUCGUCCGCUCUGGGUUAGUCGGGUCCUAAGCUGAGGCCGACAGGCGUAGGCGAUGGAUAACAGGUUGAUAUUCCUGUACCACCUAUAAUCGUUUUAAUCGAUGGGGGGACGCAGUAGGAUAGGCGAAGCGUGCGAUUGGAUUGCACGUCUAAGCAGUAAGGCUGAGUAUUAGGC
This 1107-nucleotide ribosomal RNA is filed under the name Staphylococcus aureus. RNAcentral's name for it is "partial 23S ribosomal RNA". It matches the Rfam family "Bacterial large subunit ribosomal RNA", at positions 424 to 1537 of the family's 2925-position model. Lineage: Bacteria; Bacillati; Bacillota; Bacilli; Caryophanales; Staphylococcaceae. The record is from RNAcentral.